AUGAAGGAGACUAUGGAGCUGAUCAAGAUGACCAUGGUCUUGUCUGAUGUUCCUCUGGAAGAAACUGAUAUUUUGGGAAGCGAGGCUGCCAAGAGCAACCUAGAGCUGGUGUUACUAACAACACCAACUACACCAACAGAAAGAAUGGAGAGAAUUACAAAGGUUUCAGAAGGAUUCGUUUAUCUUGUAAGCACUACCGGAGUUACUGGCACACGUGCAAACGUAGGUUUCAAGGUGGAAGCUCUUCUCAAGGAAAUCAAGCAGGUCACAGAUAAAGCUGUUGCUGUUGGUUUUGGAGUGUCGACUCCAGAGCAGGUGAAGCAGCUUGUUGCUUCAAGAGCGAAUCUGGCUCUCCUGAAGAAGGAUUAA
RNAcentral lists this ribosomal RNA (369 nucleotides) under Triticum aestivum (bread wheat). RNAcentral's name for it is "partial small subunit ribosomal RNA". The record is from RNAcentral. Lineage: Eukaryota; Viridiplantae; Streptophyta; Magnoliopsida; Poales; Poaceae.